UACCUCCUAGCAAUGGAGACAUCUUUCUGGUGGUGUUUUUCUUAUAUAAGGGGCAGAGCAGAUGGCAGUUCUUUGUUCAUUCUAGCUUGACGACUGGCUUGGUGGCCAAAGCGGUUUUAUGCCUGGGACAAAUCA
Small nucleolar RNA from Rattus norvegicus (Norway rat), 135 nucleotides. Ensembl annotates it as small nucleolar RNA SNORA48. The record is from Ensembl. Lineage: Eukaryota; Metazoa; Chordata; Mammalia; Rodentia; Muridae.